Molecule: ribosomal RNA, 720 nt
Filed under: uncultured bacterium
Lineage: Bacteria
Description: bacterial SSU rRNA
Rfam family: Bacterial small subunit ribosomal RNA
Source: RNAcentral
AGCAACGCCGCGUGGAGGACGAAGGCCCUCGGGUCGUAAACUCCUGUCCAGAGGGAAGAAGCCAGUGACGGUACCUCUGGAGGAAGCCCCGGCUAACUCCGUGCCAGCAGCCGCGGUAAUACGGGGGGGGCAAGCGUUGUUCGGAAUUACUGGGCGUAAAGGGCGCGUAGGCGGUCUGGAAAGUCUCGGGUGAAAGCCCCCGGCUCAACCGGGGAAGUGCCUGGGAAACUACCGGACUGGAGUGCUGGAGAGGGAAGCGGAAUUCCCAGUGUAGCGGUGAAAUGCGUAGAUAUCAGGAGGAACACCGGAGGCGAAGGCGGCUUGCUGGACAGACACUGACGCUGAGGCGCGAAAGCUAGGGGAGCAAACGGGAUUAGAUACCCCGGUAGUCCUAGCCGUAAACGAUGGGUACUUGGUGUGGGGGGUGAUGAAGUCCCUCCGUGCCGGCGAUAACUCGUUAAGUACCCCGCCUGGGGAGUACGAUCGCAAGAUUGAAACUCAAAGGAAUUGACGGGGGCCCGCACAAGCGGUGGAGCAUGUGGUUUAAUUCGACGCAACGCGAAGAACCUUACCGGGGUUUGAACUGCAGUGGACAGCGGCAGAGAUGUCGUGUUCUCUUCGGAGACUGCUGCAGAGGUGCUGCAUGGCUGUCGUCAGCUCGUGUCGUGAGAUGUUGGGUUAAGUCCCGCAACGAGCGCAACCCUUGUCUGUAGUUGCCAU